GAACGAACGCUGGCGGCGCGCCUAAUACAUGCAAGUCGAGCGAGAAGACGUAGCAAUACGUUUGUAAAGCGGCGAACGGGUGAGGAAUACAUGGGUAACCUACCCUCGAGUGGGAAUAACUAGCCGAAAGGUUAGCUAAUACCGCGUACGCUCCUUGGACUUCGGUUCAGGGAGGAAAGCGAUACCGUGGGUAUCGCGCUCUUGGAUGGGCUCAUGUCCUAUCAGCUUGUUGGUGAGGAACGGCUCACCAAGGCUUCGACGGGUAGCUGGUCUGAGAGGACGAUCAGCCACACUGGCACUGCGACACGGGCCAGGACUCCUACGGGAGGCAGCAGUAAGGAAUAUUGCGCAAUGGGCGAAAGCCUGACGCAGCGACGCCGCGUGGGGGA
This 389-nucleotide ribosomal RNA is filed under the name uncultured bacterium. RNAcentral's name for it is "bacterial SSU rRNA". It matches the Rfam family "Bacterial small subunit ribosomal RNA", at positions 27 to 408 of the family's 1533-position model. The record is from RNAcentral.